UGGGGAAUAUUGGACAAUGGGCGCAAGCCUGAUCCAGCCAUGCCGCGUGUGUGAAGAAGGCCUUCGGGUUGUAAAGCUUUUUACCCGUGAUGAUAAUGACAGUAGCGGGAGAAUAAGCCCCGGCUAACUCCGUGCCAGCAGCCGCGGUAAUACGGAGGGGGCUAGCGUUGUUCGGAAUUACUGGGCGUAAAGCGCACGUAGGCGGCUUUGUAAGUUAGAGGUGAAAGCCUGGAGCUCAACUCCAGAACUGCCUUUAAGACUGCAUCGCUUGAAUCCAGGAGAGGUGAGUGGAAUUCCGAGUGUAGAGGUGAAAUUCGUAGAUAUUCGGAAGAACACCAGUGGCGAAGGCGGCUCACUGGACUGGUAUUGACGCUGAGGUGCGAAAGCGUGGGGAGCAAACAGGAUUAGAUACCCCGGGUCCCUGAGCGGGCUGGCAAGGCGCAU
RNAcentral lists this ribosomal RNA (444 nucleotides) under uncultured bacterium. RNAcentral's name for it is "bacterial SSU rRNA". It matches the Rfam family "Bacterial small subunit ribosomal RNA", at positions 355 to 825 of the family's 1533-position model. The record is from RNAcentral.